GUGCCAGCAGCCGCGGUAAUACAUGUGGGGCAAGCGUUGUUCGGAAUUACUGGGCAUAAAGGGUGCGUAGGCGGUUUGUUAAGUCACAGGUGAAAGUUUUCGGCCCAACCGGAAAAUUGCCUGCGAUACUGGCGAACUUGAGUGCGUGAGGGGUUGGGGGAACGAGCAGUGUAGCGGUGAAAUGCGUAGAUAUUGCUCGGAAGGCCGGAGCCGAAGGGGCCCAACUGGUGCGCGACUGACGCUGAUGCACGAAAGCGUGGGGAGCAAACAGGAUUAGAUACCCUAGUAGUCC
RNAcentral lists this ribosomal RNA (292 nucleotides) under uncultured bacterium. RNAcentral describes it as "partial 16S ribosomal RNA". It matches the Rfam family "Bacterial small subunit ribosomal RNA", at positions 505 to 796 of the family's 1533-position model. The record is from RNAcentral.